Long non-coding RNA from Cydia pomonella (codling moth), 840 nucleotides. RefSeq lists it as uncharacterized. The transcript has 3 exons. NCBI's taxonomy places the organism in Eukaryota, Metazoa, Arthropoda, Insecta, Lepidoptera, Tortricidae. The record is from RefSeq and is a predicted model, not a curated record.
UACAAAUUUUUGGAGUUAAAUAUCAGUAAGUAUCUGUGUUUUUCAUUAUAUAUACAAUCAAACUCAUUUAUUUACAUAUAACAUUAUCAAUACAUUUUUCAGGGAUGGCAAGAUAUCAUUUCUUCUUGGCAGCUGCUGCUAUCGAAGAAAAACAAGACAGAAAACUUCAACGCCGAGCCAUAAGGGAUGCAUGCAACCCGUUUGAUAAGCCCGACGAGGAGUUAUGGCGCAUAUAUAGGGUGCGGAAAGAAUUAGCACUCUAUGUGUGCUGAACUAUACUAUGGAUUGCCGGCACAUCUUAAAGUAAAGAUAUAAUGUUGCACUAUUCCUCAAAUCAUUCCCGCUACCUUUACCACCUUGAUCAUAAUCAUUAUUUCAUAAUGAUAUACCUACUUACAAGUCUUUGUCUUAGGUUUUAACAUCACUGCACCUAUUGGCUGGCGGUAGUUACUAACGGGGAACUGGAAAAGACCAUGGCUUGUCCAUUGCUCAGUCUACCGUCAGCCGGUACUUGGAUCAAUUUGUAAUUGUGGUGAAUAGAAGACUCAAGGACACUUGGAUAGUCUUCCCAGAAAAUGAGAGGUGUUCAGGAGGCAUAUGGGGUUGCUAACAUUUUAGGCACAGUAGACUGCACCCAAGUAAAAAUAUUUCCAUAACCUUUACCGCAUGGCGUACAGUUUCUAAACAGAAAAGGAAUUCAUUCGCUAAACGUUCAGUUGAAAUCUUCCAAUAAAAGGCGAACCUGAAGCGGAAAUGGAAGGGGGAGCUGCUCGAGGGAUGCAUUACAUGCAAAGAAGCGUGCCCUAUUAAUAAAUAAAUAUUUCGCCUAGUAUUAUUUUA